RNAcentral lists this long non-coding RNA (323 nucleotides) under Elaeis guineensis (African oil palm). Its description in RNAcentral is "long non-coding RNA (EGUI_LNC078621)". The record is from RNAcentral. Lineage: Eukaryota; Viridiplantae; Streptophyta; Magnoliopsida; Arecales; Arecaceae.
CCUCGGCCACCCCAUCGCUCCUGUCGCUCCGCUUCUUCUCCCCUCCCGUUCCACUGUCCUGAGACUUCCACCCUCGGUACACACGCUCCUUCCCCGGGGUCAAAUAAAUAGGACGGGGACAGCGAGGAAUAAGGGGAAUAUACGACGAUAGGUGCCGGAAUAAUGCGGAUUAAGAGAGUAUGACCGAUAUGGAGAGUGGAAUAGAGAAGGAAAUCAGACGGCGGAACAAGAGAGAGGGAGGUGGGGAUAGAGAGGGAUGCGUAUAGACCGAGGAGUCUGGAAGCGACUGUUGACUUGGAAAUAUUCGGAUCGGAGAAGGAGCG